CCUACGGGUGGCAGCAGUGGGGAAUAUUGCACAAUGGGGGAAACCCUGAUGCAGCGACGCCGCGUGAGUGAAGAAGUAUUUCGGUACGUAAAGCUCUAUCAGCAGGGAAGAAAAUGACGGUACCUUACUACGACUCCCCGGCUAACUCCGUGCCAGCCGCCGCGGUCAUACGUAGGGGGCAAGCGUUAUCCGGGUUUACUGGGUGUACAGGGAGCUUAGACGGCAGCGCAAGUAUGGAGUGAAAUCCCAUGGCUUAACCAUGGAACUGCUUUGGAAACUGUGCAGCUGGAGUGCAGGAGAGGUAAGCGGAAUUCCUAGUGUAGCGGUGAAAUGCGUAGAUAUUAGGAGGAACAACAGUGGCGAAGGCGGCUUACUGGACUGUAACUGACGUUGAGGCUCGAAAGCGUGGGGAGCAAACAGGAUUAGAUACCCCGGUAGUC
Molecule: ribosomal RNA, 440 nt
Filed under: uncultured bacterium
Lineage: Bacteria
Description: partial 16S ribosomal RNA
Rfam family: Bacterial small subunit ribosomal RNA
Source: RNAcentral